Long non-coding RNA from Pogona vitticeps (central bearded dragon), 2388 nucleotides. The record is from Ensembl. Lineage: Eukaryota; Metazoa; Chordata; Lepidosauria; Squamata; Agamidae.
GAGUUGGAUUCAUCAAGGGUGAGUGUCACCCUUCAGAUGCUUUUGGCCUUCAAUUCACCCCAGCUCAAAACAGCUUUAAGCAAUGGUAGAGAAUGACGGAGACUGCCUUCCAUGAAACAUCUUAGCUACAGUUGUCCCCUAGACAAUUUUAAGCCAUUUGUAUAUAGAGAGCAAAAGAAUGAAAAUAUGUUCCUUCUAACCCAGUGUUUCCAAAUCUUGGGUCCCCAGAUGUCUUGGGACUAAAACUCCCAGAAACCCUCACCAUUAGAUGUGCCGACCAGGAUUUCUGGGCGUCGUAAUCCAAGAACAUCUGGGGACCCAAAGUUGAGAACCACAUUUCUAGACAUAGGUAUGGGGUUUAGGACGAACACCUCAUGGGACGAAAAACCCGCAAGACGAAUGGUUUUUGAGAUUGCUGUGGUGCCUCGCAAGAUGGCUUCUUCUAUGGCCGUACUUCACAAGACGAAUGUGGGUUUUUUUUGCAAGACCGAUGCCUUGCAAGACGAAUGAAUUAUUUUUGUCUUGUGAGGUUCCCAUAGGAAUGCAUUGCAAUGCAUUCCUAUGGCAAACCGCUUUUCGCAAGGUGAAAAUUUCGCAAGACAGCGCUACUCGCGGAACGAAUUACUGUCGUCUUGCGAGGCACCACUGUAUUUACUUUUUCCUGCUGCCAUUUCAACCUUUUAAAAACAGAAAUGGAGGCCUUAUCAAGGCAUUCUGAAUCAUGUUCAGUUCAAACCAGAGGAAGAAAGGAUGCUUAGACUCAACCUUUGUCUCAACAUCACUUUGCUUGCUUAAAAAGGGAUGGAUCCGAAUGAAAUUGCUUCUUCUAUCCACUGGCCAGUGGCAGCUGGUGCCCAUUGUGGUUGGUGGGGUGGAAGGCGCAGCAGACAAUGUUGGGCGAAGCCAGAAGGCGAGUUCUGAAAGCCAUACUCCUUUUUGGUUCCUUUUCCAUGAUAAGAUCUCCAAGCACUAAGUGAUGGCCAGCUUCCCCCAUGAAAAGUCACAGUCACUCCGCCUUCUUGUUUUGCAGCAAGCGACCAGAAAGUUCCACCUGAGAACCAACAGCAUUAUUUAUCACGCCAGUUUCCAAAUGGUGACAAGAUGGAACCCUAUGACCCCUCUUGGGGAAAUCCCCGCUGGUCGUCGGGUGAUUCAGACAUCUAUGCCAUUACCUACGAGAAACAUCUUUUCAAGUACGGGCAUCCAACCACUUUGCCCAUCAGUACCAUGGACAGCAGCUCCCCCCUUCCGGCUGUGCACCGUGGCCCCAGGAAUGUACGCAGUGCUACCCAGGUGUGAUGCCAGGAAGACCCAAUGAGGGACUUUGACUUGAACCAAGCUCGUUGCCAAGAUGUGGCCACCAAUAAGGGACCUGGCCAUCCAAAGAUAAAACCAGGCCUUCUUCUCGUGGUGCGUUUUUUUUUUCCAACAAGGAACGAAUUGUUGGGCAUCAGACCCAAGCUUCUGAAAUUAGAACCUUGUUUUCCUGGAAUAACAAAAGUAUGAAACCAGGAAACUGGGCCUAUGAGAUGUGGACUCAAUAUUUGUUGCAGUGACCCAGCCUAGUCAGGGAAGAGUUACAGAGACUCAGUAUCAAAGAGGAUUCAUUUUAUAGAUCCUGGAUAUAAAGAAUUACUUCUGGCAUUGUGGGCUGUGCUUUGUGGCCACGCUUAAAAGGAUCUCUUGAAAUGGUGCCCUUGACUUGACUUGUUGGCAUGAAACAAAAGGGUUUUCUGCUUCAUAGAUAAUAUGUGGACAAAGAACCCUAAGCUUGCCUUCUAGAAGGGGAUGCUGUGAAUAAGAGCGCCGAUGAUAUAUGGAAAAACUUUGGCUUAGGAAGCAGCUGGAGCGGUGACCUCACUGGGGAGGUAUCACACCCCAUUUCUAGAGCCUUGAAAACUAUCAGGAAUGACCUCCUAUUUUUGGGCAUGACUGAAAAUGGUGGCACUUCCUCCUUGAAUCUGGGAGAGGGUUUGAAGAAGGUAUUAUUUUGUCUUUGAGGUGGCAAGGAGAAAGCAGAGGUGGAAGGGGCCUCGUGGAUCAUCCAGUCCAGCCCCUGUCAAGGAGGCAUAGUGGGGAAUUGAACUCCCAACCUCUGAUUCUGAAGCCACAUAUCUAAACCACAGAGCUAACCAGCAGUUCUCUCCACUCGUUUCAUCCUUUUCCUGUGAGUAAGAGCAACCACAAAAUUAUUCUCCUCUCCCCCACGAGGGCAAGAUAUUUACCAGUGUUCUUCACAAGAGAAGAGGUGAGAAUCUUGGAAGUGACCCUUUCAUGCACAUUGCACAAAAUAAUGAUGGCCAAUAGCUUUGUUACAUCAAAAUUUAAGGUUUAGAAGUCUCACCAGUGUUAUUUGUAUCUUUUAAAAUAAAAUAAUAAUAAUGAUCA